This 426-nucleotide ribosomal RNA is filed under the name uncultured bacterium. RNAcentral's name for it is "bacterial SSU rRNA". It matches the Rfam family "Bacterial small subunit ribosomal RNA", at positions 356 to 773 of the family's 1533-position model. The record is from RNAcentral.
AGGGAAUCUUCCGCAAUGGACGAAAGUCUGACGGAGCAACGCCGCGUGAGUGAAGAAGGUCUUCGGAUCGUAAAACUCUGUUGUUGGGGAAGAACAAGUGCCGUUCGAACAGGGCGGCGCCUUGACGGUACCCGGCCAGAAAGCCACGGCUAACUACGUGCCAGCAGCCGCGGUAAUACGUAGGUGGCAAGCGUUGUCCGGAAUUAUUGGGCGUAAAGCGCGCGCAGGCGGUCUUUUAAGUCUGAUGUGAAAGCCCACGGCUCAACCGUGGAGGGUCAUUGGAAACUGGAAGACGUGAGUGCAGAAGAGGAGAGUGGAAUUCCACGUGUAGCGGUGAAAUGCGUAGAGAUGUGGAGGAACACCAGUGGCGAAGGCGACUCUCUGGUCUGUAACUGACGCUGAGGCGCGAAAGCGUGGGGAGCAAAC